UACAGAGGUCCCAAGCGUUGUUCGGAUUCACUGGGCGUAAAGGGUGCGUAGGCGGGCCUUUAAGUCAGUGGUGAAAGCUCCGAGCUUAACUCGGAAACUGCCAUUGAUACUAUUUGUCUUGAAUAUUGUGGAGGUAAGCGGAAUAUGUCAUGUAGCGGUGAAAUGCUUAGAUAUGACAUAGAACACCAAUUGCGAAGGCAGCUUACUACACAACGAUUGACGCUGAGGCACGAAAGCGUGGGGAUCAAACAGG
This 253-nucleotide ribosomal RNA is filed under the name uncultured bacterium. RNAcentral describes it as "partial 16S ribosomal RNA". It matches the Rfam family "Bacterial small subunit ribosomal RNA", at positions 524 to 776 of the family's 1533-position model. The record is from RNAcentral.